CCCAAACUGCGCACAAUAGCGGCCGGCUCCUCUAUCUAUUUUGUGUCCAGCCGGAGCCGCGCGCGAUGAUUCAUUGCCCCAAUUAGGGGCUCUCUGCAGCGCGCCCGGCUCUAGCCGUCUGAAGGGUCUCCUGGGGGACCCGCCGAAACCCAUCAGCGGCUGGAGCUGGUCUUUAAGUAAAGGUCAAUCAGGACGCGGGAGGAGCCAGGUAAGGACGCUGCGGGCGCCCCUGGAGGCGGAGGAACCCCCCACCCCAGGGCUGCGGUGAGGGCAGCCCCAGCCUAGAUGCAGGCACCCUGCCGGGUUCGUUCAGGGUUGUUCGACCCUCUCAAAAGGGGGGACCAAGCGAGAAGGCCAUUUACAGUCCCGAACAGGCCUGAGUUGGGGAUACCAUUCAGGGCCCCGCGUUCUAAUUUUGGAGAGAGAAAAGAGGAGCCGUCCCCGUCUCCUAGAACCCGUUAGUGAAUGCAUCAUCCUGCGGACAGUCUGAGGCCUGCUCUGCCCCUUCCCACCAUCGACAGGGGUCACUGGGUCACCAGCAGAGGUAGAAAGGGUCCUGUGUGUCCCAAGGUCAGUGAAUCAACCUCUCUGGGUCCUGAUUUCAUUCCCUUCAACAGGAGCCGCAGCAGGGGAUUAACUGUUUCCGUGUCUUUAUUGUACAUGUGUAGAGAUCCACUGUAUUUAUUUAACAAGCAGAGGGACUUGUGGUGCGAGGCGCUUAGGGUUAACUGUGGUGAUCAGCCCCAUUUCACAUACGGGAAAGAAGUGGCAUUGAGUGUAAAGUUUUCAUCCAAAGGGGCUAAGCAGAAUUCAGACCCAGGACGUCGGGCUCCAGGCCCUACUCUUGACCACCAGGGCGAGUAGCCGUGCGAGGCAAACGUCUGGUCCACGUCGCCAGUCUGCUGAUGGGGACGGGACCGUCCAUGGCAGGACAAGGCCAGGAUCCCUGGGUCCUCCCGGAUGAUCUGGCUCAGGCCCUGGUCCAAUCUAGGCAUCUCCAGACCUCUCAUUCCCCAUCUGUGAAAUGGCACCCCUUCCAGCUUCAAAAUUCUACGAGUGUCUGACUUCUGGGCAGUUUAGAGCUUCCUCAUUUGCAAGCAGCAGCCCAGAAUCAGCCUGGGGACAAAGGUGCCCGGUGGUCCCCUCCACCCUCUGGGACACUGAAAUGUAAAUAAAACUGGGCUUCCUCUUGGCAAGGAAGAGGGCCAUGCAUUGUAAACAAACGCAAGAAGAAGGCCUCCGGAAUCCCUGGGGGAUAUUCCAGGGCUCAACCCUUAGUCCAAGGGUUAACAGGAAAUCAUCAUUGGUUGGGACUUUGGGCAUUCACCCUGGCCCAGAGGAAUGCUGUGUCAGCAAAACUGUCCCGAAGGAAUGUUGGGAGCGGGGCAGGGGGCUUCUUGGCUCCUGGCAUUUUUAAUACCUGGAGAGAGGAGGAGGGCUGAUUAGGAAAAGUUUAAAGGGCAAUGUCUGUUGAACUGCAUCCUUGCACAGUUAAAGAGGGACUAUUAGGUCCCACACAGACCGAGAGGUUGCUAGUAAGACGCUGCCCGGCUGGGGACAUGCAGGUCAGCGGGUGAGUUAAACAUGGGUUCCUUAGGGCUCGGCACGUGCUGUCCCUUUUGCUUCAAAUGCAUCUGGGGCUCAUCUGUAUGGCCAUGGCCGCAGCAUCAUCCUCAGAGGCCUCCCUUUCCUCUCUAGACCAGGUGCUGUUCCACACUUCUCCUCAUCCCAGCUCCCCAGCGCAGGAGUUUGCCAUUGAUUUUAUUGAUUUUUCUGUCCCCUGCUCCUGUCUGCCCCGCCCCGGAAUCCUGGGUGCUCCCUCUCAAGGGCAUGAGCCAGGUCUGUCUUGCUCACUGGAGAUCUGGGGCCUGGCUCAGUGCCUUGGUCCCACACACCUGGGUCUCAAUCCUGUUCUGUCCCUUGCCAGCUGUGUGAGCCUUGGGUGGACUUCUUAGCACACCACCCCUCGGUUUUCUGCUCUGUACAAUGGGGGUUGUUAAAUAAAUAGGGAUUUGGGCGCAGGCAUGGGCUCUGGUGUGCUAUAGGUGACCGUGUACGUGUGUUGCCUCUUCCUCUUUCCAGUGUAUGAAGAGGUUCUCCUGCCGCCUGUCCGCACUGCAGGGCACACUGCAGGGCGGCAGGGAGGGCCACUGUGUUGAGUUCACACAGAGUCUGAGGGAGAAGGAUCACGGGGCCAACCAGAUCAAAAGAGAGAGAAUGAAGCAAGCCCUUCUCUGCUAUCCUCAGAGCUUCAGACAUGGCAGGCCACUGGCAAAAAUAUAUCCUCCUUCUCAGAGGGAAAGAAUGUAACUGCUAACAACGAAAAAUCCCUGGGAUUUGUGGAGGCCUUGGGCUUAUGAACCGGUUCACCUCCAUGCACUCGUGUGACACAGCAGUACAUGGAGGCAUCACAUCCAUUUUAAAGAUAGAGAAACUGAGACUCCAAGAAGCAGGGAUUUCCCCAGGGCCACCAUUCUUGGAAUCAGGAUAAGUUGCCAGCUUUGGGGCUGAUGAAAUUUUGUUGCAUUCUCUAUGCAUUUAUUGUGCUAAUUUGUUAAAUAUAAACAUUAAACACAUACAGCAUGUUUUGUA
Gorilla gorilla gorilla (western lowland gorilla) is the source of this 2592-nucleotide long non-coding RNA. RefSeq lists it as uncharacterized. The transcript is spliced from 2 exons. Lineage: Eukaryota; Metazoa; Chordata; Mammalia; Primates; Hominidae. The record is from RefSeq and is a predicted model, not a curated record.